GGUCGGGAUAGCUCAAUUGGUAGAGCAGAGGACUGAAAAUCCUCGUGUCACCAGUUC
This 57-nucleotide transfer RNA is filed under the name Mesadenus lucayanus. RNAcentral's name for it is "partial tRNA-Phe". It matches the Rfam family "tRNA", at positions 1 to 54 of the family's 71-position model. Rfam says of the family: Transfer RNA (tRNA) molecules are approximately 80 nucleotides in length. Their secondary structure includes four short double-helical elements and three loops (D, anti-codon, and T loops). Lineage: Eukaryota; Viridiplantae; Streptophyta; Magnoliopsida; Asparagales; Orchidaceae. The record is from RNAcentral.